RNAcentral lists this long non-coding RNA (273 nucleotides) under Helianthus annuus (common sunflower). RNAcentral's name for it is "sRNA HanXRQr2_Chr09g0401171". The record is from RNAcentral. Lineage: Eukaryota; Viridiplantae; Streptophyta; Magnoliopsida; Asterales; Asteraceae.
UUUUGUGUGUCCGUUACUAUGCGAAUAGGCUAGAUGGAGCGUAUGUUGUAUAUCAUGAGUUGUAGUCAACGCAUGAGACAUACGCAAGUAUGUGACAUACGUAGCGUAUGAGACAUGCGUGAGUGUGUGCUAACGCAUGAGUCAUGCGUUGUAGCUCCCAACGCAUGACUGUGUAGUAUAAAUAGGAGUGACAUGCAUUGGACACCAUAAGUUUUGGAUUUUUGGAGUUUGAACACGCUUGUUCACUCCUGGUGCUUAAACGAUGUAAACUCU